UACGUAGGGGGCAAGCGUUGUCCGGAAUCAUUGGGCGUAAAGCGCGUGUAGGCGGCUCAGUAAGUCUGCUGUGAAAGUCCAGGGCUCAACCCUGGGAUGCCGGUGGAUACUGUCGAGCUCGAGUCCGGAAGAGGCGAGUGGAAUUCCUGGUGUAGCGGUGAAAUGUGUAGAGAUCGGGAGGAACACCGGUGGCGAAGGCGGGUCUCUGGGCAUCUCCUGACGCUGAGGCACGAAAGCGUGGGGAGCAAACGGG
Molecule: ribosomal RNA, 253 nt
Filed under: uncultured bacterium
Lineage: Bacteria
Description: partial 16S ribosomal RNA
Rfam family: Bacterial small subunit ribosomal RNA
Source: RNAcentral